RNAcentral lists this ribosomal RNA (494 nucleotides) under uncultured bacterium. Its description in RNAcentral is "partial 16S ribosomal RNA". It matches the Rfam family "Bacterial small subunit ribosomal RNA", at positions 28 to 507 of the family's 1533-position model. The record is from RNAcentral.
GACGAACGCUGGCGGCGCGCUUAACACAUGCAAGUCGAACGGAAAGGCCUGCUUUCCCUUGUGGAUUGCGGGUACUCGAGUGGCGAACGGGUGAGUAACACGUGAGUGAUCUGCCCCCAACUUGGGUAUAAGCCUGGGAAACUGGGUCUAAUUCCCGAUAGGACUGCAGGGUGGUGCCUGUGGUGGAAAACGAUUUUCUAGUGGUUGGGGAUGAGCUCGCGGCCUAUCAGCUUGUUGGUGGGGUAAUGGCCUACCAAGGCGGCGACGGGUAGCCGGCCUGGGAGGGUGGACGGCCACAUUGGGACUGAGAUACGGCCCAGACUCCAACGGGAGGCAGCAGUGGGGAAUAUUGCACAAGGGGCGGAAGCCUGAGGCAGCGACGCCGCGUGGGGGAUGACGGCCUUCGGGUUGUAAACUCCUUUCGACCGCGAGGAAGCCACCUGGUUGGAAGGGUGGUGACGGUAGUGGUAGAAGAAGCACCGGCUAACUACGUG